This 2262-nucleotide long non-coding RNA is filed under the name Olea europaea subsp. europaea. The record is from RNAcentral. Lineage: Eukaryota; Viridiplantae; Streptophyta; Magnoliopsida; Lamiales; Oleaceae.
UGGGCAUAUGUCUGAAAAGGGGCUAGAUUUGCUAGUCAAGAAAGGUUUGCUAAAGAACUUGAAGAAGCCUUGCAUGGAUUUUUGCGAGCAUUGCGUGUACGGUAAAGCACACCGAGUUCAGUUCCAGCCAAGCAAACAUAGAAGCAGAGGCAUUCUUGACUAUGUGCACACGGAUGUAUGGGGUCCGGCUUCUGUCACUUCCAAAGGCGGUUCCAGGUAUUUUGUUACAUUUGUUGAUGAUUAUUCUAGAUAUGCUUGGAUUUAUUUUNCAGUAAAUCUUGUAUUACAAAUGGGGCUGAAUGGAUAUCAUACUUAUAGGGAUGCUAAUGAAAUAAACAUCUUAAGUCGAUAAUGCAGAAUAUUAUAAAUUACUUCAUGUUCUUUCUAAAUUUGUCACUUAUUUGUAAUUUAGUUAAGCCUAACUCCUAUCUUGUUGCUCUAACAUCUACACAUACACGAGGAUGUUGACUGCUGACAUAGAUGAUCAUCUACUUUUCCGUGAUGUUUAAAUGUGGCUAGUUUAAAAUAUGUUUCCUGACAAUGUGGCUAUAAUAGAUUAUCAUCUACUUUACCAUCAUAUGGAUAGAUUCUUUGGUCAUUCCUGUAAACUUAAAACAGUUGGUCAUUCAAGUGGUUGAAUCUUAUUGAACUUUCUUUGAUGCUUCGAUUCUUCUCACAAAAUAAUUUCCAAGUGUUCCCUUUUCGGGAUAAAUAUGUGCGCGAAAGUUAAGUUUUGACAGUGUAUAUGUACUUACAAUAAAAGAAAUUGUUUGAUCAUAAAAGGAAUUUGCUGUGCGUGCAAUUUUCUGACCCUUCACUUGCAAUAUUGUUGGAAUUUAAGAAGAGAAACAGUGCUUUAGAUCAUCGUUUUUGAACUAUUUCAUCCCUUGACAUAGCUGAAUUUUUCCAAGAUGGGAUUCUGAGUUUUCAAAUUCUACUAAAGGUACUUUUGUCUCAAUUAGGAAAAAGGGAAGAAUGCUUAUUUUCUUUCCUGGUUGACGAAGAAAAAUAAUCGACGUUGGCACAAAUGUUGUAUUUAAUUGGGUUUGAGAAGGGAAGAGUAUAAAACUAAUUUGGUUAUUAAAACUACUGUUGAUGGAAAUUGAGGAAAUCUUCUUCUGAGGAUCUCUUUCAGAACAUAGGAAUCCAUAGGAAGAUGGCCCUAGAAUUCUUCAAGUGACCAGCGAAUUCAUCCUCCUGAGCCUUUUAUAAGGAUUUUAUGUUAGUUGAUGAAAUAAUAGAACAAACUAUUGGUAUUGGGCUGAAAUGCACCUGAGCCUUUACCCUUAACAGAGAUGCCUCUAGACAAAUAUUAAUACCUAGGUGCUGGAUUAUUUUUGUAUAUUCUUAUCUGGAGUCUCAUGUAUUUGGGCUCGAUGUUAUAUCUGGUUUCCAUAAUUUUCUUUUACAUCGUUGCUAGUGUUUGAUAUGAUUGCAUUCCUCUCCAUUUGUUUCUGCAGAUGAUAUUUCCAUGGAUGUUCGAUGAAAUGCAUGCUCUGAGGCCUUUUAAAGAAGUUACCCAGCAGCAAACAUUUUCUAGGGGAUUUCUCUUUGUUUCACCAUUUCAUUUCAUUUAGAUAGUUCAAUCAUGAUUGAGCCUCGAAAAUGGCUGACUUUGGGCAUUAACUAAUUUAAGAGUUCUAACUUGGCAAAAAAAAAAAAAAACAAGUAUUCUGCUUGCUGUUGCUGAUUAAUGAAAGAUUAGUUUGGCCAUUUUUGCUGAAUUCUGUUUAGGGAAAGAUAAUGAAGGACUUAAGAUGUUUAUUUCAAUGUUCAGCAAGAUCUUUUUGCUGGAAAUCCCAAGUGAUGUAACUGUUAGUGCAGGAGGAACUUUUCAUUUUGCACAAGGUAGAGUAUAUUGAUGUUUCUUAUAGCAUAUUCUAAUUGAUUCAGACCUUGCUAGUCUUGAGCACAUCUAGUUUUUCUCAUUCUUAUCUCAUGUACCUUGAUUCAUAUGCAGGAUAAUAUGCAUCAAGCAAAGGAAAAUCAAGAAUCUACAUUGACAACAAGUCUUCAUUUGAGGUAGAAUUGGAAGCGAAGUGUAAAUUGGUGGAAGAAUAACUAGAUGCCAAGAGGCGGCUGUGGGAGUUGAGAGAACUAGAUAUCAAGCAGCGGGAGAAAUUGAGAAAUUGUCACAAUGAGGAAUUAUGCUCCCUUUUAUAGGUGGUGUUGUGUCACAUUUAAUGUUUUAGUGUAUGAUUCAAACAUUUGUAAUGAAAUUAUCAAUUUUAUGCAAUUCCAAAAUUUGUUUAUAAGGAUUUA